Molecule: long non-coding RNA, 233 nt
Filed under: Bos taurus (domestic cattle)
Lineage: Eukaryota; Metazoa; Chordata; Mammalia; Artiodactyla; Bovidae
Description: long non-coding RNA NONBTAT021803
Source: RNAcentral
CACAGAAUUAGGUCAUUUAGAAAUGGUAUUUACAUUAUUACCACAUUACUAUUGAUUGAGAUGGAAAGUCUUCAUUAUAUAGUGUGUUAGUUAUAUAUCACACAAUGAAGUAUAUCUUUUAGAAAUGAAAAUAGUUGUAGAUUUAAUUAAAGAAAAAAGUGUGUUUCACUGGAAACUUUAGACUAUCCUAUUAGCAAUGUGUUUCUGGAAAGAAAUGAGCAAAAUUGUCACAU